RNAcentral lists this ribosomal RNA (397 nucleotides) under uncultured bacterium. RNAcentral's name for it is "partial 16S ribosomal RNA". It matches the Rfam family "Bacterial small subunit ribosomal RNA", at positions 523 to 918 of the family's 1533-position model. The record is from RNAcentral.
AUACGUAGGUGACAAGCGUUAUCCGGAUUUACUGGGCGUAAAGGGCGUGUAGGCGGUCUUGCAAGUCAGAAGUGAAAUUCCUGAGCUCAACUCGGGCGCUGCUUCUGAAACUGCAGGACUUGAGUGCUGGAGGGGAUAGCGGAAUUCCUAGUGGAGCGGUAAAAUGCGCAGAUAUUAGGAAGAACACCGGUGGCGAAGGCGGCUAUCUGGACAGUAACUGACGCGGAGGCGCGAAAGCGUGGGGAGCAAACAGGAUUAGAUACCCGGUUAGUCCACGCCGUAAACGAUGAAUACUAGGUGUAGGGGGUAUCGACUCCCUCUGUGCCGCAGUUAACACAAUAAGUAUUCCGCCUGGGGAGUACGGCCGCAAGGUUGAAACUCAAAGGAAUUGACGGGG